RNAcentral lists this transfer RNA (73 nucleotides) under Chrysotila carterae. RNAcentral's name for it is "tRNA-Ala". It matches the Rfam family "tRNA". Rfam says of the family: Transfer RNA (tRNA) molecules are approximately 80 nucleotides in length. Their secondary structure includes four short double-helical elements and three loops (D, anti-codon, and T loops). The record is from RNAcentral. Lineage: Eukaryota; Haptophyta; Isochrysidales; Isochrysidaceae.
GGGAAUAAAAUUCUAUUGGUUGAAUACUUGCUUUGCAUGUGAGUUGUUACUAGUUCAAAUCUAGUUGUUUCCA